This 406-nucleotide ribosomal RNA is filed under the name uncultured bacterium. Its description in RNAcentral is "partial 16S ribosomal RNA". It matches the Rfam family "Bacterial small subunit ribosomal RNA", at positions 30 to 526 of the family's 1533-position model. The record is from RNAcentral.
AUUGAACGCUGGCGGCAGGCCUAACACAUGCAAGUCGAACGAGUGGCGGACGGGUGCGUAAUGUCUGGGCAACUGCCUGAUGGAGGGGGAUAACUACUGGAAACGGUAGCUAAUACCGCAUACCAUCGGAUGUGCCCCGAUGGGAUUAGCUAGUAGGUGUGGUAAAGGAGCACCUAGGCGAAGAUCCCUAGCUGGUCUGAGAUGAUGACCAGCCAACCUGGAACUGUGAUCCGGUCAAGACUGCGAAGGGAGGCAGCAGUGGGGAAUAUUGCACAAUGGGCGCAAGCCUGAUGAAGCGAUGCCGCGUGUAUGAAGAAGGCCUUCGGGUUGUAAAGUACUUUCAGCGGGGAGGCGGUACCCGCAGAAGAAGCACCGGCUAACUCCGUGCCAGCAGCCGCGGUAAUUC